GUGUUAUUGUUAGUAGUAAUAAGUAGGAACUAUUUAAAAAUGAUUGCGGGGAGUAUUAAUGACGUGACACCGUUACCAUGGAGACACAACUGCCACAUCCGGACGCUCAGUGAAAAAGUUUUCACGCUGAAAAAAAAAAUCAUGGACUCGGAGUACUUAAAAAAACACCUGGGAAAAUGUCUGGCGGAGGGUCUCGCUGAGGUGGCCGAGCAGCGACCCGUGAACCCGGUCCUGUAUCUGGCCCACUGGCUGCACAACUACAACUCUAAUCUUGAAUAUGAGGCGGAGAAAAAGGCCCGAUUGGCUUUCCUGGAGCAGGAGCGUGAAAAAGCCAGAGAAGAGGCUUUGAACCAGGAAAAGCUGAGGGAGGAGGAGCUUAAGAUCAGCAAGGCCUUGGAAGAGUCUAAAAAAAUCUCUGAGAAGGAGUCUACAGGUUCUGAUGCACCGGCCACAACUGAAGCUGCUGAGGACAACGAACCUGUGAAAGAAGAGAAACCAAACACCCCUGAUCCAGAAAACCAGCAGGGCAAAGACGAACACCAAACUGAAGCUCGGGAUAAUGAUGCUGAACAGGAGGUGAAGGUUACAGAUAACAUAACCAGUCCAGAGUCUCCUGGCAGAAAACCCUCCCCAUCUGAAGCCCUCAGCACUGAGGUCAAAGAGGAGUCUACAGAAACGCCCGCUGAAAAAACCGAAGUGGAGCCAAAGAGCAAUCAAGUAGAAGAGAAAACACAGGUGGAGCCAAGUGAUAAUCAUGUAGAAGAGAAAACCGAGGAGAGGGCAAGCAGCAAUCAAGUGGAAGAGAAAGAAGUUGACCAAGAUGAAGAUGAGGUGGUUGAAACUGAAACUGCUGAACCUGAGCAGACUGAACCGUUACACUCAACUCCCAGACAAGACGCUGACGAUUUAAAAACAGACAAAACAGAAGAGCCACGUGACAAACCAAGCCCUCGUUCCCUUGAACAGAACACAGAGAAGGAAGUCAGUGAGGAUGACGUCCAAGCGGAGUCACCGUCAGUCCCUCAAACCAGAGGAGACAUUUUCUGCUGAGCAAAAGAUGACAGAAACUGAACAAGAGACACACAAACCAAGUUCUCUUCCUCUUCAGAACCAGGAAGAGGAGACAGACGGGCAACACACAGGUGAGACCACUGAUAGCACGGCUUCAGCUGAGAGUGAUGCAACAAUAGAGAAGACGGUGCCAUAAGGAGAACCUGAAAAGUCACCUUCUGAUGAGGCAGACAUUCAGGAGAAGGUAGA
RNA transcript from Thunnus maccoyii (southern bluefin tuna), 1260 nucleotides. It is a transcript of the gene named DPY30 domain containing 2, with no coding region annotated. The transcript is spliced from 8 exons. Lineage: Eukaryota; Metazoa; Chordata; Actinopteri; Scombriformes; Scombridae. The record is from RefSeq and is a predicted model, not a curated record.